This 68-nucleotide small RNA is filed under the name Acidovorax delafieldii 2AN. Its description in RNAcentral is "int-alpA RNA". It matches the Rfam family "int-alpA RNA". From Rfam's summary of the family: Acidobacteria (1 example), Planctomycetes (1 example), Proteobacteria. Environment (Lake Washington) Lineage: Bacteria; Pseudomonadati; Pseudomonadota; Betaproteobacteria; Burkholderiales; Comamonadaceae. The record is from Rfam by way of RNAcentral.
CGCUCGGCUAGGGUAGCUCCCGAAAAGGCGGUCUUCCGGCCCGCUCUGCCGAUGUGUCUUUUGCCGGG